CCCAGCACUGCAAAAAAAAAAAAAAAAAGUGAAGAAAUGGGUCAUGGAGACCAAAAGCCCCAGCCUUGGUUCCUACCAAGGCCUAUAUGCCUGUUCACCAGGUGCAUGACACACUAAGUUUGUUGGGUUUUUUUCUGGGGGGGUGGCGGUUCUGGAGGAUUGAACUCAGGGACACGCAACCACUGAGCCAUAUAUCCCCAGCCCAUUUUUUUUGUAUUUUAUUUAUAG
Molecule: long non-coding RNA, 228 nt
Filed under: Marmota monax (woodchuck)
Lineage: Eukaryota; Metazoa; Chordata; Mammalia; Rodentia; Sciuridae
Source: RNAcentral